GCCAGGCUGGUCUCUAACUCCUGGGUUCAGCAGUCCUCUUUCCACCUCCCAAAGUGCUGGGAUUAUAGUCAUGAGCCACUUCACCAGGCUCAUUUUCUCCUGAAAUGUCAAGGACAAAUCAUUAAUAAUGAGCAGAAAUUUUUAGGGGAAAAACAAUUUGGUUUACAGAUAACAAAAGGUAAUUGGAAACAUGAGAGUAUUUAUGAUUGGCCAAGCAGAACUGUGAAGUCCAUCAAAAUUCAUAUGAUGAAAUCUUCACCCUCAAGUUGAUAGAAGGUGGAGCCUUUGGGAAGUAUAAGAUAUGAGGGUGGAGCCCUCAUGAAUGGGAUUAGUGCCUUAUAAAAGGCCCCAGAGAGAUUCCUCAUACUCUCCACAGUGUGAGACUUCAAGGGGCCUGGUCUCUGAGGAAGUGGACUCUUCACAAGCACAAAUCAACCAGCACUUUGAUCAUGGACUUCCCAGUCUCUAGGACUGUGAGCAAUAAAUGUUUGACGUUUAUAAGCCACCCAGAUUGUGGCAUUUUGUUAUAGCAGCCUGAACAGACUAAGAUAGGGUGUUGCCUCCAUCAAAGAAUAUACUAACUUGUGGAUUAUUUGUGAAAUUGAAUUACAGUCAUUUCCGUAAGGUCUUUUACUGCUCCUUCCCCCACAAAAAAAAAAACAAAGCAAAACUGAUUCAAAAUGUCAUACUUUAAUGAAACAUUUUAUAAUUUGCAAAUUUUUAAGUAAUUCAUGAAAAAUCUUGAUCAGUGGAUCUCCUCUCUAGCUGCUCAUUAGAAUUUCCUGUGGAGAUUAAAUUUUUUGUUUGUUUGUGGAUCAAGAGUUCUGACUUGUUUAGGGUAGGGUUCAGGAUCAGAGGGUUUCUGAAGUUCCCGGGUGAUUCUGCGGUGAGUUGGGGCUGCCAGUCCCUGAGCUAGAUUAUAAAAUGCUUCUGGGAAAGAACCAUAUUUUAGGAAUUUGCCUUCCAAAUCAGCACCUGAUGACUUGGCGGGGCUUGCCCCACCACGGUCUGGCUUUGAAGGGCAGUGGAUGUCAGGAUCAUUUGGAUUAAUCUUCUGCCACCUCUUUCUUUUCCUCAACCAAGAGUGAAUUUAAUUUUAUUUAAUCUAGUGAAAGUCUACAAAUCAUAAUUGUAAUAAAUUAAGGCCAGGCAUUUGUUUUAUAUUAGAUAAGAUAAAGCCAAAGGUUUGAACAAGUUGUAGAUGGUUUGUAAACAUUAAUCUUGUAAAAUAAAUUCUCUGUGAACAUAUUUAUUAAAUUCAAAAGG
This is a long non-coding RNA of Cebus imitator (Panamanian white-faced capuchin), 1266 nucleotides long. RefSeq lists it as uncharacterized. The record is from RefSeq and is a predicted model, not a curated record. The transcript has 2 exons. NCBI's taxonomy places the organism in Eukaryota, Metazoa, Chordata, Mammalia, Primates, Cebidae.